GUUGUAGAUUAUUUUCUUCGAAGACUUGACCUUCCUAUUGAGAGGCAGCCAAGAAAAAUGCUGAUGAAAUGGAAGGAGAUGGCUGACAGAUAUGAUCGCUUGCUGGAGACCUGCUCUAUUGCCCUUGUGGGCAAAUACACGAAGUUCUCAGACUCCUAUGCCUCUGUCAUUAAGGCUCUGGAGCAUUCUGCACUGGCCAUCAACCACAAAUUGGAAAUCAAGUACAUAGAUUCUGCGGACUUGGAGCCCAUCACCUCGCAAGAAGAGCCUGUGCGCUACCACGAAGCUUGGCAGAAGCUCUGUAGUGCUCAUGGAGUGCUGGUUCCAGGAGGAUUUGGUGUUCGAGGAACAGAAGGAAAAAUCCAAGCAAUUGCCUGGGCUCGGAAUCAGAAAAAGCCUUUUUUGGGCGUGUGCUUAGGGAUGCAGUUGGCAGUGGUUGAAUUCUCAAGAAACGUGCUGGGAUGGCGAGGGUGGGCAGCUGGCUUCCAAAAUGACAGGCCUAUUAUGCAGGCACUUAUCAGGCCUGCUGAUGUCCCGUUGGCCAAAACAAGUCACGUGGCCAAGCCCCGAGCCGGCAGGGGAGGAGAACACACAUGGAUGUGAAGACUGAGCAUGCUGCACUGGGGCCACCCAUGGAAUGGUCCGCCGCAGCCCAUUUAUUUGUAGCCCACCCGACAAAUACUAGAUUUUCAGAAAGACCUUGUAAAUUCUGUGGAAAAUAAAGUAACCUGAAGGAA
This 737-nucleotide small RNA is filed under the name Pongo abelii (Sumatran orangutan). Its description in RNAcentral is "processed transcript". The record is from RNAcentral. Lineage: Eukaryota; Metazoa; Chordata; Mammalia; Primates; Hominidae.